This 301-nucleotide ribosomal RNA is filed under the name uncultured bacterium. RNAcentral describes it as "partial 16S ribosomal RNA". It matches the Rfam family "Bacterial small subunit ribosomal RNA", at positions 509 to 809 of the family's 1533-position model. The record is from RNAcentral.
CAGUAGCCGCGGUAAAACGGAGGGUGCAAGCGUUAAUCGGAAUUACUGGGCGUAAAGCGCACGCAGGCGGUCUGUCAAGUCGGAUGUGAAAUCCCCGGGCUCAACCUGGGAACUGCAUUCGAAACUGGCAGGCUAGAGUCUUGUAGAGGGGGGUAGAAUUCCAGGUGUAGCGGUGAAAUGCGUAGAGAUCUGGAGGAAUACCGGUGGCGAAGGCGGCCCCCUGGACAAAGACUGACGCUCAGGUGCGAAAGCGUGGGGAGCAAACAGGAUUAGAUACCCGCGUAGUCCCUGUCUCUUAUAA